RNAcentral lists this ribosomal RNA (1372 nucleotides) under uncultured bacterium. Its description in RNAcentral is "bacterial SSU rRNA". It matches the Rfam family "Bacterial small subunit ribosomal RNA", at positions 28 to 1381 of the family's 1533-position model. The record is from RNAcentral.
GAUGAACGCUGGCGGCGUGCCUAAUACAUGCAAGUCGAGCGAACGGACGAGAAGCUUGCUUUUCUGAUGUUAGCGGCGGACGGGUGAGUAACACGUGGAUAACCUACCUAUAAGACCGGGAUAACUUCGGGAAACCGGAGCUAAUACCGGAUAAUAUUUUGAACCGCAUGGUUCAAAAGUGAAAGACGGUCUUGCUGUCACUUAUAGAUGGAUCCGCGCUGCAUUAGCUAGUUGGUAAGGUAACGGCUUACCAAGGCAACGAUGCAUAGCCGACCUGAGAGGGUGAUCGGCCACACUGGAACUGAGACACGGUCCAGACUCCUACGGGAGGCAGCAGUAGGGAAUCUUCCGCAAUGGGCGAAAGCCUGACGGAGCAACGCCGCGUGAGUGAUGAAGGUCUUCGGAUCGUAAAACUCUGUUAUUAGGGAAGAACAUAUGUGUAAGUAACUGUGCACAUCUUGACGGUACCUAAUCAGAAAGCCACGGCUAACUACGUGCCAGCAGCCGCGGUAAUACGUAGGUGGCAAGCGUUAUCCGGAAUUAUUGGGCGUAAAGCGCGCGUAGGCGGUUUUUUAAGUCUGAUGUGAAAGCCCACGGCUCAACCGUGGAGGGUCAUUGGAAACUGGAAAACUUGAGUGCAGAAGAGGAAAGUGGAAUUCCAUGUGUAGCGGUGAAAUGCGCAGAGAUGUGGAGGAACACCAGUGGCGAAGGCGACUUUCUGGUCUGUAACUGACGCUGAUGUGCGAAAGCGUGGGGAUCAAACAGGAUUAGAUACCCUGGUAGUCCACGCCGUAAACGAUGAGUGCUAAGUGUUAGGGGGUUUCCGCCCCUUAGUGCUGCAGCUAACGCAUUAAGCACUCCGCCUGGGGAGUACGACCGCAAGGUUGAAACUCAAAGGAAUUGACGGGGGCCCGCACAAGCGGUGGAGCAUGUGGUUUAAUUCGAAGCAACGCGAAGAACCUUACCAAAUCUUGACAUCCUUUGACAACUCUAGAGAUAGAGCCUUCCCCUUCGGGGGACAAAGUGACAGGUGGUGCAUGGUUGUCGUCAGCUCGUGUCGUGAGAUGUUGGGUUAAGUCCCGCAACGAGCGCAACCCUUAAGCUUAGUUGCCAUCAUUAAGUUGGGCACUCUAAGUUGACUGCCGGUGACAAACCGGAGGAAGGUGGGGAUGACGUCAAAUCAUCAUGCCCCUUAUGAUUUGGGCUACACACGUGCUACAAUGGACAAUACAAAGGGCAGCGAAACCGCGAGGUCAAGCAAAUCCCAUAAAGUUGUUCUCAGUUCGGAUUGUAGUCUGCAACUCGACUACAUGAAGCUGGAAUCGCUAGUAAUCGUAGAUCAGCAUGCUACGGUGAAUACGUUCCCGGGUCU